RNAcentral lists this ribosomal RNA (288 nucleotides) under Faecalicatena orotica. Its description in RNAcentral is "partial 23S ribosomal RNA". It matches the Rfam family "Bacterial large subunit ribosomal RNA", at positions 2638 to 2925 of the family's 2925-position model. The record is from RNAcentral. Lineage: Bacteria; Bacillati; Bacillota; Clostridia; Lachnospirales; Lachnospiraceae.
CUAUCCGGCGUGGGCGUAGGAUAUUUGAGAGGAGCUGACCUUAGUACGAGAGGACCGGGUUGGACUGGCCGCUGGUGUAUCUGUUGUCCUGCCAAGGGCAUAGCAGAGUAGCCAAGCCGGGAAGGGAUAAACGCUGAAGGCAUCUAAGCGUGAAGCCCCCCUCAAGAUGAGAUAUCCCAUAACGUCAAGUUAGUAAGACCCCUUGAAGACGACGAGGUAGAUAGGGCAGAGGUGGAAGUGCGGCAACGCAUGGAGCUGACUGUUACUAAUAGGUCGAGGGCAUAACCA